UACCUGCAGCUCGAGUGGUAACCGCUAUUAUUGGGCCUAAAGCGUCCGUAGCCGGUUUGGUAAAUAUCUGGGUAAAUCGUGAGGCUUAACUUCACGAAUUUCGGAUAGACUGCCAGACUUGGGAUCGGGGGAGGUCAGAGGUACUCCAGGGGUAGCGGUGAAAUGUUGUAAUCCUUGGAGGACCACCGGUAGCGAAGGCGUCUGACUAGAACGAGUCCGACGGUGAGGGACGAAGCCCUGGGGCGCAAACCGGAUUAGAUACCCGGGUAGUCCAGGGUGUAAACGAUGUGGGCUUUGUAUUGGAGGUCCCACGUGGGCGUCCAGUGCAGAAGAGAAGUUGUUAAGCCCACCGCCUGGGAAGUACGGUCGCAAGGCUGAAACUUAAAGGAAUUGGCGGGGAGCACAGCAACGGGAGGAGCGUGCGGUUU
This 428-nucleotide ribosomal RNA is filed under the name uncultured archaeon. Its description in RNAcentral is "bacterial SSU rRNA". It matches the Rfam family "Archaeal small subunit ribosomal RNA", at positions 474 to 903 of the family's 1478-position model. The record is from RNAcentral.